Molecule: long non-coding RNA, 967 nt
Filed under: Homo sapiens (human)
Lineage: Eukaryota; Metazoa; Chordata; Mammalia; Primates; Hominidae
Description: HSALNT0018532
Source: RNAcentral
CAGGAAUGUUUGGGGAUUUCUGUGUAACCCAGCCCUAGAAAAGCUGAGUUCGGAGAUAUAGCUACUAAAUUCUUGAGCUCUUGCACAAGCUCAGACUAUUAUCACUAUGCCGAAAAUAACUUCCAGUUGUUCUAAGGCGUUCAAGAAUCGAAUUACUUAAUAACGUACUCUUAUAUCUGGAUUAAGGUAUCAGACCAACAGAAAACCAUGCAAGAUCUGAUUGGAUGACAUAAAAGGAUGUUGCAUAAGAAUCGAAGCUGUCAUAUGCUGAAGAAUAACAAAGAUUAAGAAACUAAGGAUCACAGAAAGCAAAGUAACUGCUUUGAUGAAUAGAAGCCAGGAUUUGGCCCUGGGAACCUGCCUAAGCCUCAACUUUUGGCCACUAGAACUCUCUUAACCUCAGGAAUGCACUAGAGAAGAAUUCUCAGAUUGGUAAAAGGGGUCGAUAUUGUCCCUGAGCAAGGUAAGGGAUGAGGCCAGAGCAGGGGCGUCAAGCCUGAGCCAGACAGUUGUUUGGAUGUGUGGAGAAGCCCAGAAUAAGGCAAUGUGAAGAGGUGGGAACUGAGAAAAGUUGGGGAGUGCCUGCCUUAAGGCGUUUACAUUUUAAAAAUAUGUUUUAAAUCCUGCACUGUUCACAUAAAAGAGGCUGCUGGUGGGUCUGGUGCCCAGGGGCCUGUGCCCAUUUGCUGCCCCUGGUCCAGAUGACCUCUGGCAGUCCUUCCAGAACUAACAUCUUGGGAAAAAUUAGAAAUAUUUGUUCAGAGUCUUUUGUGACUUGAAUUUAUCGAUGUAGGCCAAUAGUCUACAAUCUGGCUAGGUUAUAAUGGUCAUUGAUAAAUAACUUUUGAUUGCAUGUUGAAUUCAUUCAGUGUUGUGAAUUUGUCUUUGUUUUUUAUGGUACUUUUUAAUCUGACGUAACAAAGAGCUAAUGGAUUGUGGAGUCAUAUGGCCUGGUUUUGAACCUUGG